UGAUGGAAUAAUGAGUCGCCUC
This 22-nucleotide non-coding RNA is filed under the name Arabidopsis thaliana (thale cress). The record is from RNAcentral. Lineage: Eukaryota; Viridiplantae; Streptophyta; Magnoliopsida; Brassicales; Brassicaceae.